Molecule: ribosomal RNA, 429 nt
Filed under: Gemmatimonadota bacterium
Lineage: Bacteria; Pseudomonadati; Gemmatimonadota
Description: Gemmatimonadetes bacterium partial 16S ribosomal RNA
Rfam family: Bacterial small subunit ribosomal RNA
Source: RNAcentral
UAGGGAAUCUUCGGCAAUGGACGAAAGUCUGACCGAGCAACGCCGCGUGAGUGAAGAAGGUUUUCGGAUCGUAAAACUCUGUUGUUAGAGAAGAACAAGGACGUUAGUAACUGAACGUCCCCUGACGGUAUCUAACCAGAAAGCCACGGCUAACUACGUGCCAGCAGCCGCGGUAAUACGUAGGUGGCAAGCGUUGUCCGGAUUUAUUGGGCGUAAAGCGAGCGCAGGCGGUUUCUUAAGUCUGAUGUGAAAGCCCCCGGCUUAACCGGGGAGGGGCAUUGGAAACUGGGAGACUUGAGUGCAGAAGAGGAGAGUGGAAUUCCAUGUGUAGCGGUGAAAUGCGUAGAUAUAUGGAGGAACACCAGUGGCGAAGGCGGCUCUCUGGUCUGUAACUGACGCUGAGGCUCGAAAGCGUGGGGAGCAAACAGG